UCUUUCUAUUUCUCUAAUUCUCUUCAAAGACACAAACAUCGACUUCAUUAGGUGAUAGACAGUAAGUGAAACAGUAAAUAAAUAGAAGAGAGUUAAGAGAAUUAGAGAUGAUAUGGCACACCGGAAGGCGACAAGAAAAGCUAUU
Molecule: non-coding RNA, 145 nt
Organism: Caenorhabditis elegans
Lineage: Eukaryota; Metazoa; Nematoda; Chromadorea; Rhabditida; Rhabditidae
Source: Ensembl